RNAcentral lists this ribosomal RNA (256 nucleotides) under uncultured bacterium. Its description in RNAcentral is "partial 16S ribosomal RNA". It matches the Rfam family "Bacterial small subunit ribosomal RNA", at positions 1066 to 1320 of the family's 1533-position model. The record is from RNAcentral.
CGUGAGAUGUUGGGUUAAGUCCCGCAACGAGCGCAACCCCUGUCCCUAGUUACCAGCACGUCAUGGUGGGAACUCUAGGGAGACUGCCCCGGAUAACGGGGAGGAAGGCGGGGAUGACGUCAAGUCAUCAUGGCCCUUACGUCCAGGGCUACACACGUGCUACAAUGGCCGAGACAGAGCGCUGCAAGCCCGCGAGGGUGAGCGAAUCGCUUCAAACUCGGUCUCAGUUCAGAUCGGAGGCUGCAACUCGCCUCCG